UACGUAGGUGGCAAGCGUUGUCCGGAUUUACUGGGCGUAAAGAGCGCGCAGGCGGUCGUACAAGUCGCGUGUGAAAGCCCCCGGCUCAACUGGGGAGGGUCACGCGAUACUGUUCGACUCGAAGGCAGGAGAGGGAGGCAGAAUUCCCGGUGUAGUGGUGAAAUGCGUAGAUAUCGGGAGGAAUACCAGUGGCGAAGGCGGCUUCCUGGCCUGUUCUUGACGCUGAGGCGCGAAAGCUAGGGUAGCAAACGGG
Molecule: ribosomal RNA, 253 nt
Filed under: uncultured bacterium
Lineage: Bacteria
Description: partial 16S ribosomal RNA
Rfam family: Bacterial small subunit ribosomal RNA
Source: RNAcentral